GGAGGAGGAAGAAGAAGAUGACGAUGAAGAUGAUGGUGAUGAUAAUGUCGAGCCAGCCAGAGCUGAAUUGGAUAACUAUUUGGUCAAGAAGGUUCUCGAGCAGGAGCCGGAGAUGCUGCCUUGUCACGCAUUAGCGUCGCCGUUGUCUCCUCAGCCGUCGUCCCUUGGUACGCCUCGAUUGGGGCCGGCGAUCAAGGUUUGGG
This 203-nucleotide unclassified non-coding RNA is filed under the name Hevea brasiliensis (rubber tree). The record is from RNAcentral. Lineage: Eukaryota; Viridiplantae; Streptophyta; Magnoliopsida; Malpighiales; Euphorbiaceae.